GACGAACGCUGGCGGCGUGCUUAACACAUGCAAGUCGAGCGGAAAGGCCCUUCGGGGUACUCGAGCGGCGAACGGGUGAGUAACACGUGAGUAACCUGCCCCAGACUUUGGGAUAACCCUCGGAAACGGGGGCUAAUACCGGAUACGACACAGCUUCGCAUGGGGUCUGUGUGGAAAGUUUUUCGGUUUGGGAUGGGCUCGCGGCCUAUCAGCUUGUUGGUGGGGUGAUGGCCUACCAAGGCGACGACGGGUAGCCGGCCUGAGAGGGCGACCGGCCACACUGGGACUGAGACACGGCCCAGACUCCUGCGGGAGGCAGCAGUGGGGAAUAUUGCACGAUGGGCGGAAGCCUGAUGCAGCGACGCCGCGUGAGGGAUGACGGCCUUCGGGUUGUAAACCUCUUUCAGCAGGGACGAAGCGUAAGUGACGGUACCUGCAGAAGAAGCGCCGGCCAACUACGUG
This 462-nucleotide ribosomal RNA is filed under the name uncultured bacterium. RNAcentral describes it as "partial 16S ribosomal RNA". It matches the Rfam family "Bacterial small subunit ribosomal RNA", at positions 28 to 507 of the family's 1533-position model. The record is from RNAcentral.